UCUGCAAGUACUCUAGGCCUGAAUCUGUUCAUGCUGAAAGAAAAGGAAAUGUGACCAGUAACUUCAAGGGCAGAAGGAAGAUGAGUCAGCUUCCUGCUGGGAAUUCACCACUCAUUUCCCUCUCUACGUCCCAGCAAUCAGCCAGGAUCACCCGGAACUUAUUCCCUUGCUCCCAGUUGUACCUCUACAUGCCACCAUGCUGUUAGUGUGUUUGCAUUGGUACAGCACCCGGAUUCUUAUUGGAGGGAAUAUUUGAACAAUUACAGGUCUGUUCAUAGCCCCGUUCUGGCCUGGGGCUAAGCCAGGGGGCUGUUUGAGGAUGGUGGUGUUUGGAGCCUGCCAGCUGACUGGUACCAGUGGGAUCAUACUGGAACAGACGGAAAGACCAGCAAGCCUAGAGGAUAAGGUAACAGCUGAGAAGCUCCCCCUGCACCCAGAGUGUAAAAACUGAGGAGUUUUUAGUGUUUUGAUACACCUUACACACCAGACGGCAUAAGUCCAAGCUCCACCAGGAGAUCUCCCUCUCCUCAGCUGUCCCACUUCCAGGGACAUUCAUGGGGACCAAAGAGCUGGCAGUGCCUGAGCACUGGUUGGGAAAGGGGACUGUGUGUGCCUGAGUGGCCUGGAAAGUUGGACAUGGGUCCAGAUGUCACAGCAAAUAGGUUUGGAACCUUUUGCAUGAGGGUGGGUUGUCACAGCUUCCCAACUCCAGGAGAGCAAUGAUCCCAGCUCUUGUGGCCAGCACAUCUUCAGAACACAUUUGAUGACAUUUUCUUCGGUUUUUAAGCAACGUGGACUACUUUAAAUGGGGAAAACAAACAAACAAACAAAAAAGAGUUUUUUGGGAAACGAACAAAGAGUUUUUUGGGUACCAUUGGGGUCACUCUCUUCUUCUCCCCCAACACCCACUUUUCCUUCUUCAAUUAAAAUAAAGGAAAAAGACAUACCAUUUAAACUUUGCCUACUUGAUAAAAAUUCUACCUGUGCAAAUUCCUGGAGCUCCUGCUUUUUUGUGGGUUUAUUCUCUAUGAAGACAUAUCUUUCUCUUAAUGUCACAUUGAUUGCUUGGCCACAGCUGGGAUUUUAGGGCUUCUGCAAGGUGUGGGAGCAACAGCAUGAUCUGAGGGGACCCAACCUGUCCCUCAGCACCUUUCUGAGCUGGGGCAAAAGUGUGUGCAGAAGUUGUCU
This is a long non-coding RNA of Cygnus olor (mute swan), 1188 nucleotides long. RefSeq lists it as uncharacterized. The record is from RefSeq and is a predicted model, not a curated record. NCBI's taxonomy places the organism in Eukaryota, Metazoa, Chordata, Aves, Anseriformes, Anatidae. The transcript is spliced from 3 exons.